RNAcentral lists this ribosomal RNA (429 nucleotides) under bacterium. RNAcentral describes it as "partial 16S ribosomal RNA". It matches the Rfam family "Bacterial small subunit ribosomal RNA", at positions 355 to 776 of the family's 1533-position model. The record is from RNAcentral.
UAGGGAAUCUUCCACAAUGGACGCAAGUCUGAUGGAGCAACGCCGCGUGAGUGAAGAAGGUUUUCGGAUCGUAAAGCUCUGUUGUUGGUGAAGAAGGAUAGAGGCAGUAACUGGUCUUUAUUUGACGGUAAUCAACCAGAAAGUCACGGCUAACUACUUGCCAGCAGCCGCGGUAAUACGUAGGUGGCAAGCGUUGUCCGGAUUUAUUGGGCGUAAAGCGAGCGCAGGCGGAAUGAUAAGUCUGAUGUGAAAGCCCACGGCUCAACCGUGGAACUGCAUCGGAAACUGUCAUGAUUGAGUGCAGAAGAGGAGAGUGGAAUUCCAUGUGUAGCGGUGGAAUGCGUAGAUAUAUGGAAGAACACCAGUGGCGAAGGCGGCUCUCUGGUCUGCAACUGACGCUGAGGCUCGAAAGCAUGGGUAGCGAACAGG